GGUUAAGCGACUAAGCGUACACGGUGGAUGCCCUGGCAGUCAGAGGCGAUGAAGGACGUGCUAAUCUGCGAUAAGCGUCGGUAAGGUGAUAUGAACCGUUAUAACCGGCGAUUUCCGAAUGGGGAAACCCAGUGUGAUUCGUCACACUAUCAUUAACUGAAUCCAUAGGUUAAUGAGGCGAACCGGGGGAACUGAAACAUCUAAGUACCCCGAGGAAAAGAAAUCAACCGAGAUUCCCCCAGUAGCGGCGAGCGAACGGGGAGCAGCCCAGAGCCUGAAUCAGUGUGUGUGUUAGUGGAAGCGUCUGGAAAGGCGCGCGAUACAGGGUGACAGCCCCGUACACAAAAAUGCACAUACUGUGAGCUCGAUGAGUAGGGCGGGACACGUGGUAUCCUGUCUGAAUAUGGGGGGACCAUCCUCCAAGGCUAAAUACUCCUGACUGACCGAUAGUGAACCAGUACCGUGAGGGAAAGGCGAAAAGAACCCCGGCGAGGGGAGUGAAAAAGAACCUGAAACCGUGUACGUACAAGCAGUGGGAGCACGCUUAGGCGUGUGACUGCGUACCUUUUGUAUAAUGGGUCAGCGACUUAUAUUCUGUAGCAAGGUUAACCGAAUAGGGGAGCCGAAGGGAAACCGAGUCUUAACUGGGCGUUAAGUUGCAGGGUAUAGACCCGAAACCCGGUGAUCUAGCCAUGGGCAGGUUGAAGGUUGGGUAACACUAACUGGAGGACCGAACCGACUAAUGUUGAAAAAUUAGCGGAUGACUUGUGGCUGGGGGUGAAAGGCCAAUCAAACCGGGAGAUAGCUGGUUCUCCCCGAAAGCUAUUUAGGUAGCGCCUCGUGAAUUCAUCUCCGGGGGUAGAGCACUGUUUCGGCAAGGGGGUCAUCCCGACUUACCAACCCGAUGCAAACUGCGAAUACCGGAGAAUGUUAUCACGGGAGACACACGGCGGGUGCUAACGUCCGUCGUGAAGAGGGAAACAACCCAGACCGCCAGCUAAGGUCCCAAAGUCAUGGUUAAGUGGGAAACGAUGUGGGAAGGCCCAGACAGCCAGGAUGUUGGCUUAGAAGCAGCCAUCAUUUAAAGAAAGCGUAAUAGCUCACUGGUCGAGUCGGCCUGCGCGGAAGAUGUAACGGGGCUAAACCAUGCACCGAAGCUGCGGCAGCGACACUAUGUGUUGUUGGGUAGGGGAGCGUUCUGUAAGCCUGUGAAGGUGUGCUGUGAGGCAUGCUGGAGGUAUCAGAAGUGCGAAUGCUGACAUAAGUAACGAUAAAGCGGGUGAAAAGCCCGCUCGCCGGAAGACCAAGGGUUCCUGUCCAACGUUAAUCGGGGCAGGGUGAGUCGACCCCUAAGGCGAGGCCGAAAGGCGUAGUCGAUGGGAAACAGGUUAAUAUUCCUGUACUUGGUGUUACUGCGAAGGGGGGACGGAGAAGGCUAUGUUGGCCGGGCGACGGUUGUCCCGGUUUAAGCGUGUAGGCUGGUUUUCCAGGCAAAUCCGGAAAAUCAAGGCUGAGGCGUGAUGACGAGGCACUACGGUGCUGAAGCAACAAAUGCCCUGCUUCCAGGAAAAGCCUCUAAGCAUCAGGUAACAUCAAAUCGUACCCCAAACCGACACAGGUGGUCAGGUAGAGAAUACCAAGGCGCUUGAGAGAACUCGGGUGAAGGAACUAGGCAAAAUGGUGCCGUAACUUCGGGAGAAGGCACGCUGAUAUGUAGGUGAAGUCCCUUGCGGAUGGAGCUGAAAUCAGUCGAAGAUACCAGCUGGCUGCAACUGUUUAUUAAAAACACAGCACUGUGCAAACACGAAAGUGGACGUAUACGGUGUGACGCCUGCCCGGUGCCGGAAGGUUAAUUGAUGGGGUCAGCGCAAGCGAAGCUCUUGAUCGAAGCCCCGGUAAACGGCGGCCGUAACUAUAACGGUCCUAAGGUAGCGAAAUUCCUUGUCGGGUAAGUUCCGACCUGCACGAAUGGCGUAAUGAUGGCCAGGCUGUCUCCACCCGAGACUCAGUGAAAUUGAACUCGCUGUGAAGAUGCAGUGUACCCGCGGCAAGACGGAAAGACCCCGUGAACCUUUACUAUAGCUUGACACUGAACAUUGAGCCUUGAUGUGUAGGAUAGGUGGGAGGCUUGGAAGUGUGGACGCCAGUCUGCAUGGAGCCGACCUUGAAAUACCACCCUUUAAUGUUUGAUGUUCUAACGUUGACCCGUAAUCCGGGUUGCGGACAGUGUCUGGUGGGUAGUUUGACUGGGGCGGUCUCCUCCUAAAGAGUAACGGAGGAGCACGAAGGUUGGCUAAUCCUGGUCGGACAUCAGGAGGUUAGUGCAAUGGCAUAAGCCAGCUUGACUGCGAGCGUGACGGCGCGAGCAGGUGCGAAAGCAGGUCAUAGUGAUCCGGUGGUUCUGAAUGGAAGGGCCAUCGCUCAACGGAUAAAAGGUACUCCGGGGAUAACAGGCUGAUACCGCCCAAGAGUUCAUAUCGACGGCGGUGUUUGGCACCUCGAUGUCGGCUCAUCACAUCCUGGGGCUGAAGUAGGUCCCAAGGGUAUGGCUGUUCGCCAUUUAAAGUGGUACGCGAGCUGGGUUUAGAACGUCGUGAGACAGUUCGGUCCCUAUCUGCCGUGGGCGCUGGAGAACUGAGGGGGGCUGCUCCUAGUACGAGAGGACCGGAGUGGACGCAUCACUGGUGUUCGGGUUGUCAUGCCAAUGGCACUGCCCGGUAGCUAAAUGCGGAAGAGAUAAGUGCUGAAAGCAUCUAAGCACGAAACUUGCCCCGAGAUGAGUUCUCCCUGAC
Molecule: ribosomal RNA, 2792 nt
Filed under: Escherichia coli
Lineage: Bacteria; Pseudomonadati; Pseudomonadota; Gammaproteobacteria; Enterobacterales; Enterobacteriaceae
Description: partial 23S ribosomal RNA
Rfam family: Bacterial large subunit ribosomal RNA
Source: RNAcentral